RNAcentral lists this unclassified non-coding RNA (300 nucleotides) under Glomus sp. Its description in RNAcentral is "partial internal transcribed spacer 2". The stretch from base 1 to 71 matches the Rfam family "5.8S ribosomal RNA", at positions 84 to 154 of the family's 154-position model. The record is from RNAcentral. Lineage: Eukaryota; Fungi; Glomeromycota; Glomeromycetes; Glomerales; Glomeraceae.
GUGAAUCAUCAAAUCUUUGAACGCACAUUGCACUCCUUGGUAAUCCGAUGAGUAUAUCUGUUUGAGGGUCAGCCUAAAAAAAAUUGACAUAGUUGCUGUUUCGCGGUGACAUUCGUCGGAAAUUGUGUCAUCUUAAACCUUUGGGUUUUAAGCGGCUUAAAAUUGUCUUUACGAUUCCACGAACGUUUCUAAGAUUUACUUCUUACACGUUUAAGGUAUCGAUCUUUAUGAGACGUGGCCGUUGCAUCGGAUCACGGCCAUAAAUAUGUCGUUAACUGACCUCAUACAGGUAAGAACACC